This is a long non-coding RNA of Peromyscus leucopus (white-footed mouse), 822 nucleotides long. RefSeq lists it as uncharacterized. The record is from RefSeq and is a predicted model, not a curated record. The transcript is spliced from 3 exons. Lineage: Eukaryota; Metazoa; Chordata; Mammalia; Rodentia; Cricetidae.
CCAGCCAGCCCCUAGCGCAGACGGCGAAGAGCUGGGAUGGAGCUCGCCUUGGCUCUGCUGGCCUUGGCUGCAGCUCUCCCAGAGAGCGGGGCACCCAAAGGAGAAUCCCUUACCUGCUCUCUCUUCAGGGAUGACAUCAUCGGCUCACCGCAGUCUUCAAGGACCACCUUCUUUGGACGCCAAGCUUUUGCUCAAGUGCCUGUGGGGAUACCUGCUGAACAUCUCUACCUUCUGAGCCAAGGAGCUUGGAUUCCUGGAACCCACCAGCAUACAGAGCAGCCCCCUUGUGGACCCCCAAGACCAUGACAUCGAGGGACAAGGGACAAAGAGGAUCAGUAGUGUCCAGCUAGCCUCUUUUUGGGUUCAAGCCUUGAACCAGUGCCCUAGUGAGGGGGCAUUGGUCAUGACCUUCGACCUUUUUUCUGCUUGUGCCUUGUUUCUGAGUCCUUCCCUGUAUGUCUCUGCUUGUGUUCAUCUGCCAGUGAACUGGAGUGCUUCCCUCCCCAAGGGGGGUCGUCCCUUGUGACUGACCAUGUUAUUCUAACAAUGUCCUGAGCAGAAGGAUCCCUUUGGGAGCCUCUCAGGAGGGGGACCUGGGCCAGGGGCCACCAUUGUGCUGGCAACUCUGUGGGUUGGGGUGGGGUGCUUCUGGAAUGAGCAUGUGGCUGACCCCCAAAGGCAUGCUCCCCCCCCUUCCACCCACCUUUUUGGAGAUGUCCCUUCCUUUUGGGUUAAUGGGACAUUAGGAGCAACCUCCUAGGGUUGUUGUGAGAAUUAAAUGAGUUCGAAUAGCCUGAGGCAGGGCUGGGCAAAGCCCUCAGC